UUGUGCUUGAUCUAACCAUGUGGUUGUGAGGUAUGCGUAAAACAUGGUUCUGUCAAGCACCAUG
This 64-nucleotide microRNA precursor is filed under the name Python bivittatus (Burmese python). RNAcentral's name for it is "Pbv-Mir-218-P2_pre stem-loop". It matches the Rfam family "mir-218 microRNA precursor family", at positions 11 to 73 of the family's 82-position model. From Rfam's summary of the family: The extents of the hairpin precursors are not known. In this case the mature sequence in excised from the 5'arm of the hairpin. Lineage: Eukaryota; Metazoa; Chordata; Lepidosauria; Squamata; Pythonidae. The record is from RNAcentral.